Molecule: ribosomal RNA, 90 nt
Filed under: Acinetobacter baumannii
Lineage: Bacteria; Pseudomonadati; Pseudomonadota; Gammaproteobacteria; Moraxellales; Moraxellaceae
Source: RNAcentral
CACCUGAUCCCUUCCAGAACUCAGAAGUGAAACCUCUUAGCGCUGAUGGUAUUGUGGGAUUACCCAUGUGAGAGUAAGUCAUCUCCAGCU